Molecule: ribosomal RNA, 759 nt
Filed under: uncultured Methanosarcina sp.
Lineage: Archaea; Methanobacteriati; Methanobacteriota; Methanomicrobia; Methanosarcinales; Methanosarcinaceae
Description: bacterial SSU rRNA
Rfam family: Archaeal small subunit ribosomal RNA
Source: RNAcentral
GGAUAACCUGCCCUUGGGACCGGCAUAACCCCGGGAAACUGGGGAUAAUUCCGGAUAACGCAUAUUUGCUGGAAUGCUUUAUGCGUCAAAAGGAUUCGUCUGCCCAAGGAUGGGUCUGCGGCCUAUCAGGUAGUAGUGGGUGUAAUGUACCUACUAGCCAGCGACGGGUACGGGUUGUGAGAGCAAGAGCCCGGAGAUGGAUUCUGAGACAUGAAUCCAGGCCCUACGGGGCACAGCAGGCGCGAAAACUUUACAAUGCGGGAAACCGUGAUAAGGGGACACCGAGUGCCAGCAUCAUAUGCUGGCUGUCCGGAUGUGUAAAAUACAUCCGUUAGCAAGGGCCGGGCAAGACCGGUGCCAGCCGCCGCGGUAACACCGGCGGCCCGAGUGGUGAUCGUGAUUAUUGGGUCUAAAGGGUCCGUAGCCGGUUUGGUCAGUCCUCCGGGAAAUCUGAUAGCUCAACUAUUAGGCUUUCGGGGGAUACUGCCAGACUUGGAACCGGGAGAGGUAAGAGGUACUACAGGGGUAGGAGUGAAAUCUUGUAAUCCCUGUGGGACCACCUGUGGCGAAGGCGUCUUACCAGAACGGGUUCGACGGUGAGGGACGAAAGCUGGGGGCACGAACCGGAUUAGAUACCCGGGUAGUCCCAGCCGUAAACGAUGCUCGCUAGGUGUCAGGCAUGGCGCGACCGUGUCUGGUGCCGCAGGGAAGCCGUGAAGCGAGCCACCUGGGAAGUACGGCCGCAAGGCUGAAACUUAA